Odobenus rosmarus divergens (Pacific walrus) is the source of this 789-nucleotide RNA transcript. It is a transcript of the gene named protein FAM133B-like, with no coding region annotated. The transcript has a single exon. The record is from RefSeq and is a predicted model, not a curated record. NCBI's taxonomy places the organism in Eukaryota, Metazoa, Chordata, Mammalia, Carnivora, Odobenidae.
GAGUCGGCCGGAGGACCUGCAGAGGGCCCUCUUCGGCCGCUCUCUGGCCCCAUCUCCCUCCCUCGGCGUCUGACUGUGCUCUCAGUUCUGCACCAUGGGGAAGCGGGACAAUCGGGUGGCCUAUAUGAACCCAACAGCAAUGGCCAGAUCAAGGGGUCCAAUCCAGUCUUUGGGGCCAACGAUCCAAGAUUAUCUGAAUCGACCAAGGCCUACCUGGGAAGAAGUGAAAGAACAACUAGAAAAGAAAAAGAAAGGCUCCAAGGCAUUGGCUGAAUUUGAAGAAAAAAUGAAUGAGAACUGGAAGAAAGAACUAGAAAAACACAGGGAGAAAUUAUUAAGUGGAAGUGAGAGCUCAUCCAAAAAAACACAGAGAAAGAAAAAAGAAAAGAAGAAAUCUGGUAGGUAUUCAUCUUCUUCUUCAUCAAGCUCUGAUUCUUCCAGCAGUUCUUCGGAUUCUGAAGAUGAGAAUUAAAAACAAGGAAAAAGGAAAAAGAAAAAGAAGAACUGUUCACAUAAAUCUUCUGAAAGCUCCAUGUCAGAAACUGAAUCGGACAGUAAGGAUAGUUUAAAAAAGGAAAAGAAGUCAAAGGAUGCAACUGAGAAAGAAAAGGACAUCAAAGGGCUCAGCAAAAAAGAAAGAUGUAUCCUGAAGAUAAACCUUUAUCAUCUGAGUCCUUAUCAGAAUCAGAUUAUAUUGAGGAGGAAAAAACAAAAAAGGAAAAGAAGCAUAAGAAACACAGUAAGAAGAAGAAAAAGAAGGCUGCUAGUUCAAGUCCUGACUCGCCGUAA